GGAUUAACGCUGGCGGCGUGCAUAACACAUGCAAGUCGAACGAUGAAACUUAAAUGAUUUCUUCGGAAUGAACUUAAGUGGAUUAGUGGCGGACGGGUGAGUAACGCGUGAGUAACCUGCCUUACACAAGGGGAUAGCCGUUGGAAACGACGAAUAAUACCCUAUGAUGUUUCUAUCUCGCAUGAGAUAUUAACCAAAGUGUUAGCGGUGUAAGAUGGACUUGCGUCUGAUUAGCUAGUUGGUGAGAAAAAAGCCCACCAAGGCAACGAUCAGUAGCCGGCUUGAGAGAGUGUACGGCCACAUUGGGACUGAGACACGGCCCAGACUCCUACGGGAGGCAGCAGUGGGGAAUUUUGCACAAUGGGGGAAACCCUGAUGCAGCGACGCCGCGUGAUUUAGAAGGCCUUCGGGUUGUAAAAAUCUUUUGUAUAGGAAGAAAAUGACAGUACUAUACGAAUAAGGUCCGGCUAAUUACGUG
RNAcentral lists this ribosomal RNA (478 nucleotides) under uncultured bacterium. RNAcentral's name for it is "partial 16S ribosomal RNA". It matches the Rfam family "Bacterial small subunit ribosomal RNA", at positions 27 to 507 of the family's 1533-position model. The record is from RNAcentral.